UACGGGGGGAGCAAGCGUUGUGCGGAUGUACUGGGCGUAAAGGGCGCGUAGGCGGCGUGGCAAGUCACUUGUGAAAUCUCCGGGCUUAACCCGGAACGGUCAAGUGAUACUGCUGUGCUAGAGUGCGGAAGGGGCAACUGGAAUUCUUGGUGUAGCGGUGAAAUGCGUAGAUAUCAAGAGGAACACCUGCGGCGAAGGCGGGUUGCUGGGCCGACACUGACGCUGAGGCGCGCAAGCUAGGGGAGCGAACGGG
Molecule: ribosomal RNA, 253 nt
Filed under: uncultured bacterium
Lineage: Bacteria
Description: partial 16S ribosomal RNA
Rfam family: Bacterial small subunit ribosomal RNA
Source: RNAcentral